AAGCAAGAGGACCCGCCGAAUUUAA
RNAcentral lists this ribosomal RNA (25 nucleotides) under Pseudo-nitzschia brasiliana. RNAcentral describes it as "large subunit ribosomal RNA". Lineage: Eukaryota; Bacillariophyta; Bacillariophyceae; Bacillariales; Bacillariaceae. The record is from RNAcentral.